Molecule: ribosomal RNA, 449 nt
Filed under: uncultured bacterium
Lineage: Bacteria
Description: partial 16S ribosomal RNA
Rfam family: Bacterial small subunit ribosomal RNA
Source: RNAcentral
GUCGAGAAUCUUUCACAAUGGGGGCAACCCUGAUGGAGCGACGCCGCGUGGAGGAUAAGGUCUUCGGAUUGUAAACUCCUGUCAUGCGUGAACAAGGUUGCUUGGUUAAUACCUGGGCAAAUUGAUGGUAACGCAAGAGGAAGAGACGGCUAACUCUGUGCCAGCAGCCGCGGUAAUACAGAGGUCUCAAGCGUUGUUCGGAAUCACUGGGCGUAAAGGGUGCGUAGGUGGCGUGGUAAGUCAGAUGUGAAAGCCCGGGGCUCAACCUCGGAACUGCAUCCGAUACCGCCAUGCUAGAGUACUGGAGAGGUGACUAGAAUUCUCGGUGUAGCAGUGAAAUGCGUAGAUAUCGAGAGGAAUACCAAAGGCGUAGGCAGGUCACUGGACAGUUACUGACACUGAGGCACGAAGGCCAGGGGAGCGAACGGGAUUAGAUACCCCAGUAGUCC